UAGGGAAUCUUCCACAAUGGACGCAAGUCUGAUGGAGCAACGCCGCGUGAGUGAAGAAGGUUUUCGGAUCGUAAAGCUCUGUUGUUGGUGAAGAAGGAUAGAGGUAGUAACUGGCCUUUAUUUGACGGUAAUCAACCAGAAAGUCACGGCUAACUACGUGCCAGCAGCCGCGGUAAUACGUAGGUGGCAAGCGUUGUCCGGAUUUAUUGGGCGUAAAGCGAGCGCAGGCGGAAGAAUAAGUCUGAUGUGAAAGCCCUCGGCUUAACCGUGGAACUGCAUCGGAAACUGUUUUUCUUGAGUGCAGAAGAGGAGAGUGGAAUUCCAUGUGUAGCGGUGGAAUGCGUAGAUAUAUGGAAGAACACCAGUGGCGAAGGCGACUCUCUGGUCUGCAACUGACGCUGAGGCUCGAAAGCAUGGGUAGCGAACAGG
Molecule: ribosomal RNA, 429 nt
Filed under: bacterium
Lineage: Bacteria
Description: partial 16S ribosomal RNA
Rfam family: Bacterial small subunit ribosomal RNA
Source: RNAcentral